RNAcentral lists this ribosomal RNA (1365 nucleotides) under Brachiaria grass white leaf phytoplasma. RNAcentral describes it as "bacterial SSU rRNA". It matches the Rfam family "Bacterial small subunit ribosomal RNA", at positions 153 to 1513 of the family's 1533-position model. The record is from RNAcentral. Lineage: Bacteria; Bacillati; Mycoplasmatota; Mollicutes; Acholeplasmatales; Acholeplasmataceae.
GAAACAGUUGCUAAGACUGGAUAGGAAAUUAGAAGGCAUCUUUUAAUUUUUAAAAGACCUUUUUCGAAAGGUAUACUUAAAGAGGGGCUUGCGGCACAUUAGUUAGUUGGUAGGGUAAAAGCCUACCAAGACCAUGAUGUGUAGCUGGACUGAGAGGUUGAACAGCCACAUUGGGACUGAGACACGGCCCAAACUCCUACGGGAGGCAGCAGUAGGGAAUUUUCGGCAAUGGAGGAAACUCUGACCGAGCAACGCCGCGUGAACGAUGAAGUAUUUCGGUAUGUAAAGUUCUUUUAUUGGAGAAGAAAAAAUAGUGGAAAAACUAUCUUGACGAUAUUCAAUGAAUAAGCCCCGGCAAACUAUGUGCCAGCAGCCGCGGUAAUACAUAGGGGGCGAGCGUUAUCCGGAAUUAUUGGGCGUAAAGGGUGCGUAGGCGGUUUGGUAAGUCUAUAGUUUAAUUUCAGUGCUUAACACUGUUCUGCUAUAGAAACUAUCAGACUAGAGUGAGAUAGAGGCAAGUGGAAUUCCAUGUGUAGCGGUAAAAUGCGUAAAUAUAUGGAGGAACACCAGAGGCGUAGGCGGCUUGCUGGGUCUUUACUGACGCUGAGGCACGAAAGCGUGGGGAGCAAACAGGAUUAGAUACCCUGGUAGUCCACGCCGUAAACGAUGAGUACUAAGUGUCGGGGAAACUCGGUACUGAAGUUAACACAUUAAGUACUCCGCCUGAGUAGUACGUACGCAAGUAUGAAACUUAAAGGAAUUGACGGGACUCCGCACAAGCGGUGGAUCAUGUUGUUUAAUUCGAAGAUACACGAAAAACCUUACCAGGUCUUGACAUACUCUGCAAAGCUAUAGCAAUAUAGCGGAGGUUAUCAGGGAUACAGGUGGUGCAUGGUUGUCGUCAGCUCGUGUCGUGAGAUGUUAGGUUAAGUCCUAAAACGAGCGCAACCCUUGUCACUAGUUGCCAGCAUGUUAUGAUGGGCACUUUAGUGAGACUGCCAAUGAAAAAUUGGAGGAAGGUGAGGAUCACGUCAAAUCAUCAUGCCCCUUAUGAUCUGGGCUACAAACGUGAUACAAUGGCUGUUACAAAGAGUAGCUAAAACGCGAGUUUAUAGCCAAUCUCAUAAAAGCAGUCUCAGUUCGGAUUGAAGUCUGCAACUCGACUUCAUGAAGUUGGAAUCGCUAGUAAUCGCGAAUCAGCAUGUCGCGGUGAAUACGUUCUCGGGGUUUGUACACACCGCCCGUCAAACCACGAAAGUUGGUAAUACUCGAAAACGGUAGCCUAACUUCUUCGGAAGAGGGAACCGUCUAAGGUAGGAUCGAUGAUUGGGGUUAAGUCGUAACAAGGUAUCCCUACCGGAAGGU